Molecule: ribosomal RNA, 473 nt
Filed under: uncultured organism
Description: partial 16S ribosomal RNA
Rfam family: Bacterial small subunit ribosomal RNA
Source: RNAcentral
UACACUCCUACGGGAGGCAGCAGUGGGGAAUUUUGGACAAUGGGCGAAAGCCUGAUCCAGCAAUGCCGCGUGAGUGAAGAAGGCCUUCGGGUUGUAAAGCUCUUUUGUCAGGGAAGAAACGGUGAGAGCUAAUAUCUUUUGCUAAUGACGGUACCUGAAGAAUAAGCACCGGCUAACUACGUGCCAGCAGCCGCGGUAAUACGUAGGGUGCAAGCGUUAAUCGGAAUUACUGGGCGUAAAGCGUGCGCAGGCGGUUUUGUAAGUCUGAUGUGAAAUCCCCGGGCUCAACCUGGGAAUUGCAUUGGAGACUGCAAGGCUAGAAUCUGGCAGAGGGGGGUAGAAUUCCACGUGUAGCAGUGAAAUGCGUAGAUAUGUGGAGGAACACCGAUGGCGAAGGCAGCCCCCUGGGUCAAGAUUGACGCUCAUGCACGAAAGCGUGGGGAGCAAACAGGAUUAGAUACCCCGGUAGUCCC